GUGCUCGCUUCAGCAGUACACAUACUAAGAUUGGAACAAUACAGAGAAGACUAGCAUAGUCGCUGCAUGAGGAUGACGCACAAAUUCAUGAAGCAUUCCAUAUUUUU
Small nuclear RNA from Sciurus carolinensis (gray squirrel), 107 nucleotides. NCBI's taxonomy places the organism in Eukaryota, Metazoa, Chordata, Mammalia, Rodentia, Sciuridae. The record is from RefSeq and is a predicted model, not a curated record.